CCCACACGCGACAGUCGCGCUUCCGCCGCCGCCUCUCGAGACAUUUGCACCGUCAACAUACGCCGGCCACUUGGCGGAACCAGGUCGCAGUUAGUAACACCGUCGUCGUUGCUUUUGAUGACGGCCACUGGUGCACCCAUUCGCACCGCCGCCGCAGUCGACAAAACCACCGCCGCCGCCGCCGUAACCACUGCAGCCGGCGGUUGACGACAACCGGCGGGUCAGCGUAAACCGCGGGCGGUAUGUCCACGGUGCUGCAACAACCGCCGUCCGGAGGAGCACCACAAUCGUCGCUGCUGCCGCACCUGCAUCCGCACGGCCACCACGGCCAUCACUUGCACCAUAGGCCGGCCGCCGAACUACAGGCUGCAGCCCACAACCCGGAUGUCCUGCUCGCCCUGCUAGCCCGGAACAAAGCUCUGGAAGCUAGUAUACCAAAGUGUGGCGGUUGUCAAGAAUUAAUACUAGACAGAUUUAUAUUAAAAGUAUUGGAACGCACUUGGCACGCUCGUUGUUUAAAGUGUAACGAGUGUGGAGCCACAUUAGCCGACAAGUGUUUUGCAAGAAACGGAAUGCUGUUCUGUAAAGACGACUUCUUUAAGUACGGGACAAAAUGCGCCGGUUGCGAUUUGGGAAUCCCGCCCACACAAAUAGUUCGGAGGGCUCAAGAUCUCGUCUACCACUUACAAUGUUUUGCAUGUGUCAUGUGUGGCCGUACAUUGAAUACCGGCGAUGAAUUUUAUCUAAUGGAAGAUCGGAAAUUAGUGUGUAAACCUGAUUACGAAGCCGCAAAAACGAAAGAGGGCGGAUGCCUGGAUGGUGAUCAACCAAAUAAACGUCCAAGAACGACUAUUACGGCAAAACAGUUGGAAACAUUAAAAAUGGCGUACAACAACAGUCCAAAACCAGCUAGACAUGUUAGAGAGCAGCUAAGUCAAGACACUGGAUUAGACAUGAGGGUAGUCCAAGUUUGGUUUCAAAACAGACGUGCAAAAGAAAAAAGGCUUAAAAAAGACGCUGGCAGAUCACGUUGGAGCCAAUAUUUCAGAACAAUGAAAGGUUCAAUUUCGCCUCGAAACGACAAAGACGACCUUAAAGUUGAUCUUGAUUCGAACUUUAGUCAUUCGCACGAUUUAGAAAGCAAUGACAGUUAUGGUACAAGCACGUUAACUAUAGAUCAAGAACACAGCUCUCCUUUACCCGGGAGUCAUCACCAUAAGUUUUUACCCGGCAACUCUUCACCAUCGUCACAUCAAUACAUGUCAUCACCCACUCAACACGUCACAACAUUUACAGCAGACAAUGGUUACAUCACAGUAGGUCCUACACAUUCUGCGCCUUCAGAACUAAGCGACAACAGUAGCACACAUGGUUUUGCAGAUUUCCCACCAAGUCCAGAUUCAUGGCUGGGAGAAACACCGCACAGAUAUUGAAAAUAUAUUAUCAUUAAUUAAAAUAAUGUAUUACGAAGUACAAAUCAAAAAUGUUCUUUUAACCUACCAAGGGAUAUAACAAACAUACUGACUGGGAGAACCAAGUUUUUAAAAUGUUUAAUAAUUAUUUUAUUUCCUGUGUUUGUGUGACAUGUGUAUCAUUAAUAGUUCGCGCAACAGUUUUUAUGGUAUUUCAUUAGGUUUACGCCAAGAAUCGUGUUUAGAUGUAGAUAUUUUUUCUUUUUGAUCUCGAAUUUAUAUUCAUUUAAAUGUUAUCUUUAAAUAAAUCAAAAUAAUUGUAUACAGGCUAUGGAAUUUUGUUGUUUCAACUUAAAAAUACAUUGUCAUAUAUAAAAUUAUACAUGUGUACAUAUAAUAAGGCUACAUUGUAUCAUUGUAUAUUAAGUAUUACCCUUUG
RNAcentral lists this unclassified non-coding RNA (1851 nucleotides) under Rhopalosiphum maidis (corn leaf aphid). RNAcentral's name for it is "lIM/homeobox protein Lhx3, transcript variant X2". Lineage: Eukaryota; Metazoa; Arthropoda; Insecta; Hemiptera; Aphididae. The record is from RNAcentral.